Molecule: ribosomal RNA, 477 nt
Filed under: Pinoyscincus abdictus abdictus
Lineage: Eukaryota; Metazoa; Chordata; Lepidosauria; Squamata; Scincidae
Description: partial 16S ribosomal RNA
Rfam family: Bacterial large subunit ribosomal RNA
Source: RNAcentral
UUUUAACGGCCGCGGUAUUCUAACCGUGCAAAGGUAGCGUAAUCACUUGUCUCCUAAAUAGAGACUAGUAUGAACGGCUAAAUGAGGACAAACCUGUCUCUUGCACCCUAUCAGUGAAACUGAUCUCCCCGUCCAAAAGCUGGGAUACCAACAUAAGACGAGAAGACCCUGUGGAGCUUAAAACACACUACUAACAAGCCGGCACGGCACAAUUAGUACAACUUUUAAGUUGGGGCGACUUCGGAACAAAACAGAACUUCCGAGCACAGAACCACCAAUUCUAACCAAGGCCAACAAGCCCAGGCAAAAACUGACCCAGUAAUACUGAUCAACGAACCAAGUUACCCCAGGGAUAACAGCGCUAUCUUCUUCAAGAGUCCAUAUCGACAAGAAGGUUUACGACCUCGAUGUUGGAUCAGGACACCCAAAUGGUGCAGCCGCUAUUAAAGGUUCGUUUGUUCAACGAUUAACAGUCCU